This 495-nucleotide ribosomal RNA is filed under the name uncultured bacterium. RNAcentral describes it as "partial 16S ribosomal RNA". It matches the Rfam family "Bacterial small subunit ribosomal RNA", at positions 29 to 507 of the family's 1533-position model. The record is from RNAcentral.
AUGAACGCUGGCGGCGUGCCUAAUACAUGCAAGUCGAGCGAACAGACGAGGAGCUUGCUCCUCUGACGUUAGCGGCGGACGGGUGAGUAACACGUGGAUAACCUACCUAUAAGACUGGGAUAACUUCGGGAAACCGGAGCUAAUACCGGAUAAUAUAUUGAACCGCAUGGUUCAAUAGUGAAAGACGGUUUUGCUGUCACUUAUAGAUGGAUCCGCGCCGCAUUAGCUAGUUGGUAAGGUAACGGCUUACCAAGGCAACGAUGCGUAGCCGACCUGAGAGGGUGAUCGGCCACACUGGAACUGAGACACGUUCCAGACUCCUACGGGAGGCAGCAGUAGGGAAUCUCCGCAAUGGGCGAAAGCUUGACGGAGCAACGCCGCGUGAGUGAUGAAGGUCUUCGGAUCGUAAAACUCUGUUAUUAGGGAAGAACAAAUGUGUAAGUAACUAUGCACGUCUUGACGGUACCUAAUCAGAAAGCCACGGCUAACUACGUG